UACAGAGGGUGCAAGCGUUAAUCGGAAUUACUGGGCGUAAAGCGCGCGUAGGUGGUUCGUUAAGUUGGAUGUGAAAUCCCCGGGCUUAACCUGGGAACUGCAUUUGUGACUGCAUGGCUAGAGUGCGGCAGAGGGGGAUGGAAUUCCGCGUGUAGCAGUGAAAUGCGUAGAUAUGCGGAGGAACACCGAUGGCGAAGGCAAUCCCCUGGGCCUGCACUGACGCUGAGGCGCGAAAGCGUGGGGAGCAAACAGG
RNAcentral lists this ribosomal RNA (253 nucleotides) under uncultured bacterium. RNAcentral's name for it is "partial 16S ribosomal RNA". It matches the Rfam family "Bacterial small subunit ribosomal RNA", at positions 524 to 776 of the family's 1533-position model. The record is from RNAcentral.